This 573-nucleotide ribosomal RNA is filed under the name Trichoderma polysporum. RNAcentral describes it as "eukaryotic LSU rRNA". It matches the Rfam family "Eukaryotic large subunit ribosomal RNA", at positions 106 to 701 of the family's 3401-position model. The record is from RNAcentral. Lineage: Eukaryota; Fungi; Ascomycota; Sordariomycetes; Hypocreales; Hypocreaceae.
AGCUCAAAUUUGAAAUCUGGCCCCUCAAGGUCCGAGUUGUAAUUUGUAGAGGAUGCUUUUGGUGAGGUGCCGCCCGAGUUCCCUGGAACGGGACGCCGCAGAGGGUGAGAGCCCCGUCUGGCUGGCCGCCGAACCUAUGUAAAGCUCCUUCGACGAGUCGAGUAGUUUGGGAAUGCUGCUCAAAAUGGGAGGUAUAUGUCUUCUAAAGCUAAAUAUUGGCCAGAGACCGAUAGCGCACAAGUAGAGUGAUCGAAAGAUGAAAAGCACCUUGAAAAGAGGGUUAAAUAGUACGUGAAAUUGUUGAAAGGGAAGCGCUUGUGACCAGACUUGGGCGCGGCGGAUCAUCCGGGGUUCUCCCCGGUGCACUUCGCCGUGUCCAGGCCAGCAUCAGUUCGUCGCGGGGGAAAAAGGCUUCGGGAACGUGGCUCCUCCGGGAGUGUUAUAGCCCGUUGCAUAAUACCCUGCGGUGGACUGAGGACCGCGCUUCGGCAAGGAUGCUGGCGUAAUGGUCACCAGCGACCCGUCUUGAAACACGGACCAAGGAGUCGUCUUCGUAUGCVAGUGUUCGGGUGU